Triticum aestivum (bread wheat) is the source of this 135-nucleotide non-coding RNA. The record is from Rfam. Lineage: Eukaryota; Viridiplantae; Streptophyta; Magnoliopsida; Poales; Poaceae.
CAAAUACCCCCUCCGUCCAAAAAUACUUGUCAUCAAAAUAGAUUAAAAAGGAUGUAUCUAGAACUAAAAUACGUCUAGAUACAUCUCCUUUUAUCCAUUUUGAUGACAAGUAUUUCCGGACGGAAGGAGCACUUA